UGAAUAUCUGUGUAAUAUAGACGAACUCCAUGUGACGCAUGAUCAGAUGGAGCUGGACUGUUUUCUUACACUGGUGAUGUGAGAGAUGCUGCUGUAAAAUGUGUGUCUUGAUGUCAUGAAGCUCUUCUGUCAUAUUUAACUUCAUGUUCUGACAAAAGUGUUCACUGGUAGUGCCAAAAAUGAAACUCAUCAUGCUGAACCAAUGCAAGUGUAAAAGAGUGAGUGGGAUUUAGCCAUCUGAGCAUGAAGGAGAUUGUCUGCUGCAUCUUAGUCGUACAGACUAUCACUUAAAAGUGCCAUUCUUUUUAAAGCACAAACACUGGUAAUGAUGACUGUAUCAUAACCUUAAAAUCAUAGUACCACAAAACAUCCCAAAAUGGAGGGACCCCCAAGGGUAAUCAAGUCCAACAACCGGCUCCACACAGACCACCCAAAAUCCAAACCCUACGUCUGAAAGUGGUAUUCAAAUGCUCCUUGAACUCCAGCAGCUUGGGUCCAUUCCCGUUGCCAUGGGCAGCCUGUUCCAUGCCCGUCCACUCCCUGUGAGGAGCUGUAGCUGCCAUCAGGCCUCCCCUUGGCCUCCUCUGUCCUGGGCUGAACAAACCAAUGGGACCUCAGCUGCUCCUCGUAUGUCUUGCCCUCUAGAUCCUUCUCCAUCUUCCUAGUCCUCCUUUGAAUGCUUUUUAAUAUUUUUAUGUCGUUCAUAUGUUGGGGCAUCCAGACAUGCACACAAUGCUCAAGGUGAGGCUGCACAGCACUGAGCAGAGGGGACAGUCCCUUCCCUUGCCUGAUGGCAGUGCUGAGCCUGAUGCACCCCAGCUGGCAAUAAGCCACAUAACAUACUUUGAAAGAAGGAAGCAUGAAGGCUGUGGAGCAGAAAGGAUAGGGUUAUGGAUAACUGUUUUCCACCUGAUGAAUUCUUCAGGUUGUGGGAGUAGAUCGGUUAUUUUUUCAUAUGCAUCUGUGCAUGCCUGUUUCUUUCCAUGAAUAUAACAGUAGGAAUCGUUUUUCACUGAGAAAAGCAAAGUCAAGAGGUUAUGGGGCCCAAGAAACCCUCCUGAGUAUAGCAGGUCAAGCUGCUUUAUCACUGCCCUCCACCAGGACUGUUCAGCUAUGAGAGAUUCUCCUGUAAUGGUACAAAUUGCAAGAAAAAUCCCUGCUGAAACUGCUGCUGCUGAGAGGAAAAGCUUUGCAUAGGUAGCCCCUUGUUUCUUUCUCUGCAACAUGCAUUGUGAUAAUCAAUAGCACCAUGUAACUUUUUUGUUCUGAGAAGUGCUCCUUUCAUCAAACCAGUGCUAUUUCCUCACCAGGAUGCUUCUGCUGUCCCACCAGCAUCUCUUGAUGACUGGGCAAGGAUCUGCACAUCAACCUGAUGGAGCCCAUGAAGGCACACCAACUCUGAUGCUCAGGAACAGAUCAGUGAUGACAGAUGACAAGAAGAUUCCUGGGUUUUCAAAUUUUAAUGCCAGCUGCCUCUUGUCAUUUUAGCUGUGUCCCUUUAACUUAGAAUAUUGUGUUAUUUGGAUAAAAACUUGCUGCAUGCAUUGUAAUUUCUAGUUCAAUGUUUUGGAUCAUGAGUUCCUUGUCCAAAGCAGAAUAUGCAAGAAAAGUAGCUCACGUGACUUUUUAAAAAUGUUGAUUAACCUUCAAACUUGAUUUUGACCCAGAGGCUUGGGAAAUAUAUUUCUUAGUGUUUUAUAAGCCCUAUGUUGUCACAACAGAUUUAUCAGCGUGUCAAGCAGGCUCCUUCUUUCAGAUUCAUUUGUUUGUUUCUUUGAUUCCCAAAGGCUGUCACAUUGGGAAACAUUAAUUAACAGACUGGCUAUUUCAAAGGCAUAAUGCUGGCAGGAGCUGGCUUUAAAGGCUGAUGUCUUUGACCAGAGCCAAUCCAAGAUCGGCUUCUGCUUUGGAUAAAGCUACCUGCUUGUGCUACUGACAUGUCCUACUCACCCGCAACACUUUUGGGGUUGCUAAACCUUCUGGAGGGGUUUCAGGGUCAGGUGACUGCAGAAGCCAUCUUCUUCUCAAGAAAAUGCAAAUAGCAUACAGCAUCCGCUGUGAGCUGUAAUCAGCUUCAUGGAAUUAAGCUUUAAUCUUUAUCUGCUAAUACUUCAUAUUUUCUUGUUGACUCACUGAAGGGAAAAUUUCUUUUUAAAAAAACUUUCUUAAAUGGAAAGACACACAUACAUAAUGGUAGCAGAGGGUUGCACUGGCCCUCUACAGCCAAAAUUGAAGUACUUGCUUGUUUUCUCUGGACUUAGAGCUUUUCUCUUCCUGUGAUGAUAAAGCCAGGAAGGCUCCAGAGCAUCUACAGCUGUAUGAGUGCUUGUGGCUAUUGUACAGGAGCGCAGCAAUUAACCCCAUGUUUUGUACCUACCUUGGGUGGCUACACGUGCUUCAAACAGAAAUAGAAAAAUAUAACUAUGCUUCCCAAACCCUGUGCCUUAGCAAUGACAUGUUCAUCACAGCUGCCACUUGACAUUCUUUGCAACAGAGAGGCACAAUGUUUAGAAAAAUAGCUGCAAAAUCACCAUAGUAAUAUUCCCAGACUCUGCAGUUUCACAGGAGCAUUUUAUACCACUCUUGUAGAAUUCUGACUGCUACAGAUUUCACCGUGGGAGACUUUAAAAGAAAAUCCGUAUCCAAUUUGGUAGCACUUUAUUAUAUCAUCAGUUACCUAUAAGCAUGCUUUAUUGCUUUAUUUAUCAUAUGCUUCCAUAUUGUUCCCAUUUCAGGAACAGCAUUUUAAAAUGGGAAUUUUUCUAAGUAUAUGAGUUGUUAAAGCAUGCUAUAGUUUAUCCUAUCUUUUCCACAGGAAUAUAAGAAGGAGACAGUGUGUUUUACAUUACUGUGUUCUUGCAGUGAGUUUACUAGUCUUCAUGAAGAAUGUCUUGAUGAAAUUAAAUAGGUGGAAAAAAAUUUCAUGGAGUGUGCAAAUGAAAUAGCCAGGAAUAAAUCCAUUUAUGCAAGACUCACACUGAGAGGCUGAUGAGCUUUGACAAUUGGAAUAAAUUAUUUUGGCUAGAAGGAGAUUCCAUCUUUUCAAGACAGGACAGCAUUGAACCUUACAGUAGUUUUCAGUUUGCAACCGAACAAAACAGCUUUAUGGAAAUGACCGGGUAACCUUGUCCAUAGUGACCUUGUAUCUGUGCCAUAUAAGCAUGCUCUCCUGCACUGUGUGCUUUCUACCAGUUCACGCCACAUAAUUGCAGCUGAUGAAGUGAUGUCUUCUUUGGCUGAGCAGCAUGGUGAUUGUUGCUGGCUGACAUGUGGUACAUGACUGAAGGCCCAACACCACAUAGCCUAAGUCUGAACAGCUCUACUCUGAAAGUCCCAAGUGAGGGUCUGUAGCUAAGCAUCAUACCUAGUAACUAAAGAGAGACAAGGCUCUCUCCCCAAGACCUCCUGUGCAAAUCUGGCAAUUUAUUUCCUUGAUUUUUUUACCUUCUUCUACAUUGACUAGCAAUGCUACUUUCCUUUCAGCUAGUGGCCUUUUGUUUAGAUUGGCUCUGUCUGGGCUAAAAAUAUUCUCUUGCUGUAUAUUGUACACUGCCUUAAGGCAUUACUGUGAUGCACACAAAUAAUUAUAAAAAAUAUUUCAGUCUUAAAGGAUAGUUUUGGUCAUAGGCGGUAGUAAUAUCUAUAUUUAUCAUCCUGUAGUCUCAACAUUUCUUGGUGCAGUCUGCCUCUGAUUUUUGGUGCUUGAUGUUCCCCAUCAUUUACAUUGGUUUUACUGUAUAAUUGUUUCUGCUUUAUUCUCAGAGGAGAAUUGAACUCCCUUUAUGUGUACAUUCCUCCCUUUAAUAUUACUCCUUCCUUAAAAUAACCAAACAGUUCCUUCCUCAGAUCCAAACUCUGCAAAAGAAUCUGCAGAAAAAGUGGUAUAUUCUAAAAUGGUACAUUUAUUAGUUUAGAAUUAGAUGUACACACACAUACAUGUCCAUACAUAGUAUAGUAGCAUUCUUAGAACUAAGUUUUCAUGAAAAUAGAUUGUCAGUAUUUCACGACUGAAUGGUAUUAUCCUUUUCAAUUGUUAAUACUAUUGUUUGACAAGUAUUUUUGAAGUAUGACAACAUUGUACUGUUUUUUUUUCCAGCCCCCUGCAAAUAAGUCAUCCUCUCCGAUGACAUCAAGUUAACUGUGGGCCGACAGAUAUGGAACCACAGGCUGGAGAAAGUCCUUCAGUUAUACAUUCAGAACAAAUGUUAUAAUGUGCAAUGCAGUCAACAGCUCCUUUUUAAAGAAAAACAGUGAUUAGCUAGUACCAGGUUGUUAAUACUAGCAGUGUUCUAUUGCAGUUAUAUAAGUUAAUUACUAGUAAAGGAAAUGACUCUCAUAAAUGGGGUAACAAAAAGAAUAGACAUAUUUUCUGAGGUUAGCUCAAUAUUUGAGAUAGGAAUCCCAGCUUAGGUGAUACAAUCUCUCAUUUAUAGGACAAUAAAUCCACACCAGCGUAGAUGUAAUCGUUGGGGUCUGGCUUAUAUGUAGGAAAUUAAAAGUAAAUUCUAUCCAUUUAUCUUAAUCACAGAUAGCUUGCUGCCUUCUCCAGAUGUAGGAAGCAUAGCCUACACUCAAAAGAAAAGCUUUCCAGGAGCCCGGAAAGAGUGAUGUUUUCCAUCCAUUUCACUUUGCUGCUGAUCCAUGUGAUAUUGUUGUAAAUGGUUGUCCAUAGGUAUCACACGAUUCUUUGUCAACAACACCAAACUGUCUGCUGUCCUAAUGAGGUGGUGUAUUGAGAUGUGUUGUAAUUAACAUAAAUAGAAAGUAAUCAAGUGACAAAUGGAAAAAGUGCCACUUCAAAACAUACCAUUCUGGUCCACAGCUUUUUAAUCCCUCGAUGCACUGUGCUGUGUGUGCUGACCUGAGAUGAAGGAAGCCAGACAUUUAAAAGUGCAGAGAACCCAGCUAUCUGCACACAUCCUUGCUCUGCAUACAUCUUGCUUGGGCAGUGCAAUUAGCAAGCAAUAAGGUAAGCCUCAGGUUAAAUGGCAACUAAAUAGACACUGAGAAAGGCCAGCAGUUAAUCUCUAUAACUUUCCUCUGCAGCAUAAAUGAAGUUUCAGUAAAGACAAGACUUGCAUUGUUUCUGAUGUCACAAAUAUUAUCAGUAGAAAAUGCAUUGUAAGCUCUGCAAUUAAAUCCUAUAUUUGAAGCAAUCAAGCAAUUAGAAGAAAAUUGUUUUCUGUGCAUUUACCGAGACGUAGAUGUAGAUCUGGUCCUAACUGUGGAAUUAUGGGCCUCAUGAGAACAGCUUGUUUUCCUUACCAUUUUAUUUUUUUCUACUGUAAAAGUUUGACAUUAACACUGCCUAUUAUCACAACCAGUCACUGGGAGGAUAUGCCCAUGCAGAGGUGAGACUAAAAAUAUCUCUUAUCUGUACUGUGAACUAGUUCUGGGGCUGAGCCACUGGAGGGGUUCUUUGGAGCUAAAAAUAAACUUUGGUUGAGCACAGCUCUGCACAUCUCCAUGAUAACUCCAGUGGGCUACUUGACAAAAUUAUUUUCUCGAAAAUUAUUGAUGUCAAACAAGUUAACAGGGAACCCAAAGGACAUUUCUAUUGCUUAAAGAUCAUAAAGAUAAGGGUGGCAGUGGAUGGAGUAAAAGGGCUGCAUUGUUGUGUUAUGUUUCUCAGGAGGCUGACAGCCGUUACAGUCACCCAUGCCCUACUGAGCACUCUGAAGCUGGGCAUGCCUCCAAGAGAAGGGGGUGGCACACAGCCCCAUCCCCUUCCCAGCAUGGGCUGCCGGCCCAGCUGGUCUCCAACUCAAAGUGGGGCCAACAGCAGUCGUUACAGUGUGGUCGUUACAGCCCUACUGGAUGGUCAUGGAGCUCCUGGCCUUCAAGCCCUGUGAGGAGGAUGGAGGAAGUCCCAUAGCUGUGAGUCCAGACAAGGUGAGUCUGACAAUAAUUUGCGGACUGGGAGCUGCUCCUCACUGGCAUGCUUUGGGAUUCUGAAGAUGUGAAACCACCAUGGUGCUUGCUGGUGAUUGGUGAUUGCUGAGGAAAAACAGCUAGCUGUAAGGAAAUUGCUCCUGUUGUACAGAAAAAGGACCCAAGUCACAAGUGAUAGAAAAAUGAGUAACAGAAGUGCACCCUGGAUGUCAGUAGAGAGUGGACUGUGAUAUUCUUAUCAACUUAUAUUUUCCUUUAAACAUUUUAGUGUGUGGCUUAUGAACUCAGAGAAUCCGAUGGAGAGCUUAUUUGAAAACUCCUGUACCUCAGCAAAGCAUGGUCCAUCAGUAUAUGAAAUCCUAAGUCUUCGUCAGCCCCAAAGGACUUUUCUUUAUGAAUAGUGAGUGAUGCAUUUCUCACAGGUGACAGAAUGGAUACAAGGCUUAAAGAGGAGUUGCAGUGAUUAAGAGCUGACCUGAAGAAUGGGUGUAAGGUUCAUAUUUCAAACAUAGAUGUCAGUGUGGAAAAGGAAUAAGAACAUGAUGAGAAUAAAAAACAAGGCUAGAGUCAAGGCUGGCGCUGCUGAUGGAACAGAUGGAAAAGGUGGCAGAUGAAAAGAGCUAGGAUCAAGGCUGACUGUUGCAGUCUAAAGCAAAAAUAUACAACACAUUUGAAUUAGCUGUACUCCACAGGGGAAAUAUGGAUGGUAAAAUCAAAAUAACAUGAGAGGAGAAAAGAUUCCAAUGGCAAUGCUUUGGAGAAACAGAUGGAAAGCCAGGCAAGGAUAAAGACAGCAAGAAAGAAGAGAGGUGAAAUGUAAGUAGAAAAUAAUUAGAACAAGAAUGAGAAAUAUAUUCCCUGGAACUGAGAUGAAGUGAUGGACAUUUUUUAUCCCACUGAAACAAUGGGAAGGUCUUGGCACUUCUAAAGAGAAGACAUUGCCAGACAAGAACUAUAGGUUUUGUAUAUAUAGUCUAAUCUGAAAGGAUUCCUUUUUUUUUUUUUUUUUUCUCCCUGGAAUCUUAAUAAUGCCAUUUGCUAUAAUCUCAGUAGGAAAAACUGAAGUAAUCUGUAGCGGAUUUUCUACACACAUAGAUAGCUCUACAUGCAUGGGAUUUUAUCUGCAAAAUAAAUUUAACAUUUCUUGCAAAUAGCUUGCAAGUAACUCACAUAAAUAUAAUGAAUAAUUCCCAAUUCACUAUAAAUUCCUCAUAUUUGUUCAUCUAAACAAGUACAGUGAAAGCUAUACAGCAAAAGGAACAUAAGUUUCCUGAUUAUCACUAAUUAUUUCACAUUAUUUAUACCACUGGAUAGAGAUGUCUACUUUCAUUAUCAGAAUCGCAUCAUAGGAGUUAGCAUAAGCUAUUUCUUAGUGCCGAUCAUCACCAGGUUUAUGUACUGUUAAUGAGAACAGGACAUGUUUGUUAAUCAGCAGAGGAAGCAGAAUGAGCAUGGGAGAUCAGGAUGUACUUUUUAUUUUUAAAAGGACUCUUGAGAUACAGCAUGAACAUAUGGGACUAAACAGUUUAAGAAAGAUUUGGAACUCAAAAUUUUGUUGGUAUUUGCAAAGGUUUUUCAGAUUUCAAAAAUCCAAAGACAAUAGUUUUUGCAUAGGGAAGAAUUUCUCGACCAGCCAUAGAAUCAAAGGCUUCAUAUGUUUGUGCAGCAUUUUUGCACCCUGCAAACAUGGCAUAUUCACAUCAUUUUUUCUAAUAAAUAUUUUUACUGUGAAAAUUAUUCCAAGCAUAUAAAACAAAGAAGGUAAGGCCAGAUGGGACCACCAUAACCAUUUAAUCUGAGUCUUGCUAAGCAUGUACUUUGCAUACAGAAGUAUGUACUCCACAGUCAUUCCUGACUGGUAAGUAUAUGGAGUAAGCACUACACGUUUCUGACUUUGAAGCUCAAAAUUCCCCUUUGUGAGUAAUUCCUAAGUUUCUGUCUAUGUCUUCUGUGCACCAGCUGAAACACGAAUUUCCUUGAACCCUCUCAGCCGGGUCUGUGCCAGGAUGAAUCACUGAGGAUAUGUGUUCCAGAUAAACUCCUUUUUAUUUUGGACUAGUACAUAGGUUAGCCCUUUUAGCUUCCUCACCAGCCUCUGCUGUGUGUUCAGACUAUCAUCGAUUGGAAUCUACUAGAUCAAAUACAGCCAUUAUCAUAUCUCGCACCCUUUGCAAUAGGUAGUAAAUCUCUCCCAGACCUUCUAUGAAAUCUGGAUUAGGUACUUAGCCUUUUUAGGGGGUUGACAUCUUAUUAUUGGAUAUCUGGCCUUCUGUCAUCUGUCUUUGUUUUCAUUGUUAUUGCACAGCUAUGUUCCUUUCAACAAGUGAUUGAUGCUUAUUAUUAACUGUUCCCCUGUUGAUGCUUUGUUCAGAUUCAGAACUAAUGCAUUUUUAUAUGAGCUUUUAUUGUGGAUUUAGAAGAAUGCAUGUGAAAAUAUAAUCUGAUUUUACUUGCCUCUUGCUGGAUUCUUUUGCUUUUCUUGUGAAAAAAAAAAAAUGAAUAUAAUUCCCAGUAAUGUGUCUAAUUUUUAUUUUAUGUGCAGUGUUAAUGAGUAUGUCUAUUCUUAGUACACGAUCAUAAAUUAUUAUCAACUGUAAAUUCCUUUUUUUCUCCAUUGCCCACUUGUAUCUUUUCAAUUAGCAUAGGACUUUUAAAAAAUGUACUAUUGCAGAAAGCUUUAUUUUAUCAUUAGCAUUUUUCCUUGUUAAUAAAUUCUGAUUAAACUGCUUUCUUGCUGAUUCACUAGCCCAUGUUGUCCUUUUGGAGUUACUCAUCUCAGUUGAAAACUUCUAUUUUUUGCUGGCACCCCAGCAUAUGGCCACAUAACUAUUAAUUUGACAUUCUUUUUUUCUACGUGUUCUGACAUGACAGUACAAUAUUAUUGUAUUAUAUAUAAUUGGAAUAUUAUGCACAUACAUGGACACACACACACACAAUUAUUUAAUGGAAGCAUAGCAAAUCAACGGCCAGAGCUGUGACUGCCUGGCAGUUAUUAACUCACCACAGAUAAGCUGUGCAAAAAAUCCCAGCUGUAAUUGGUAAAUAAAUUCCUAUUCUGGUCACUGUUACAUGACCUAACUGCUACUUGAUGUUCUGUAGGGCUCAGAUUUGACUCAGGUGAGUUUGCCUGCCAUGUAGUGCCUGCUACAGCAGGAUCCAGAGUCAGUUUGGCAUUGGUAAUAGUCCAGGAGAAAUAAUUAAAUCACAUUUUACUACCUAACCAGAUAAAACAUAUAUCACCAUGAAUUAUUCUUACCAUUUCUGACAAAGGUCUCCAUGUGCAUGUGGAACAGUGCUGUUCUCUAAAAUAUAACACAAUGAAAAAAACAACAAUAAACAAACAAACAAACAAACAGCUGAAAGAUUUAAAUCCUUUCCGUACCUAUAAUGACAAUUAGUUCAAAGAGUGGGGGUUUUGUAGUUUUCAACUGGCACCAUUGUAGUUAUGUUUUUAAAAAUACUUAAGUUCAUUAUGCAGCUAGAAUGUGAACUCUGAAUUGGCAUAAAGGUUGUUUUUUUUUUUCUUUUCUUAUAAAAUAUUAAAAUACAAUAUUCCAGCCAUGAUCUUUGCUGUAUUUUAACCUCAU
Long non-coding RNA from Gallus gallus (chicken), 9479 nucleotides. NCBI's taxonomy places the organism in Eukaryota, Metazoa, Chordata, Aves, Galliformes, Phasianidae. The record is from Ensembl.